Gasterosteus aculeatus (three-spined stickleback) is the source of this 4477-nucleotide long non-coding RNA. The record is from Ensembl. NCBI's taxonomy places the organism in Eukaryota, Metazoa, Chordata, Actinopteri, Perciformes, Gasterosteidae.
AUGGACCGGGUAUGUCUUCUGUCCGGCCCAUCAGCUAUAUCCUCCCCCCCAGGUCCUCUGCAGACAUGGCUAAGGAUGUCCCUGGACUCUGACUGCGUGCUGCUGUCAUUGAGGGGCUCCAGGACGUCCUGCGUCCUCCAAAGCGAGGACGAGAAGGAUGACCCCCCUGGAGCGGGAGAGGAGAGUGUCCUGGAGAUGCUGAGCUGCUCCAAGUUCUCCGGGCUGGAGACAUGGCUCUGCAUGCCGUCCUCCUUACUGCUGCCCAGCGGCCCGGACCUCACCCCCACCUCCUCCUCUUCACAUGCAUCCAACCAGCCGACCUCCUCUGCCUCAUCCUCCUCAUCCUCAGCCUCCAACUGCCGUCGCUCCACCUGCAGCGAUCCAGGAGAGACGCUCAGGUCGUGGGACGGCGACUCCUCCCUCCCCCCUCCUGCUCUCCUCCCAGUCUCCUCCACCCCCGCUGGACAGUCCUCCUCCCCCCCCCUCCUCCUCCUCCGCCGGGGGGGGCAUCAGGAAGCGUCGGCGCCUUGCUGCCAGUCCCGGAGGACUCCACUGGAACUCUGCAGGUUUGGUGCAACGGGACUGGUCACCUGACCCGUCUCCGGUGUCGGGGGAGAACGCAACAGCAGGACGAGGGGCGAGCCCCCCCCCCUGGUGCAGGUAGGCGGGGCCACGUGGGGGGCCGACCGGGCUGCCCUGAGACUCCUGAGUCGGCUGGAGAGAGGCAGGAAGAAGGUCCACGGCAUCCAGGUGAGUUCUUCUUCAUGUGACAUCUUUUGUUCAUUCAUUUAUUCGCUAUCUUUGGGUUGGAUCAGAUUUCAGAUGUCAUGAAUAUUAAACCUCUCUGGGGGUCAGAAGCAUAAACAUUCUGUCAGAGAUCAAUGAAGCACCUUCGCUCUCCGGACUCAUCCUGUUUGCCACCAUCUUGGGUUUUUUGAAAAUUGACCGGAUUCCCUCCUAAUUACGUGCGCUCGCUUUGUUAUUCCGUAACAACGUGUUUAUCCGCUACGCAAAAUAUUGUCUGACAUGAGAACUGGGCCCUUGAUCUAAAGUGUCUAAAGUACCACAAGACCUUCAAACAUUUCAAGUGAAAUACUUCUGUAAUAAUUUAUAGUAUUUCAAUUAAUAACUUCUAUUAAAGUAUUUUUUGAUUAACAGAAUAUUUAAUGAGUGAUCAACCUCACUGUGAUCAAAUGUUUACUAUUUGUUUCUUUUAUCAUCAAAUAAAAAAUAUUUAAUACGUCAAAUAAACACAGAAAGAAGCUUUAGUUUACUUUUCCACUUAUUGAUCACAUUGUCUCAGUGUGUGAAGAAGCUGCACGAGGAUGCGAUGGAGGAGGAGGAGGAGAACAACACGUGGAGGCGAUGAAAGGAGGUGAGGGAGGAGCAGGAAUGUGCUCCUCCCUCACCUCCCGCUCCGUCGUCUCAGUAAAUAAUUAAUAAAAGAUUUCCAGGCAACACAAGAAGCCGAGAGACGAAACAUGCUGAGGAGAAGCGUGGAAAAGUACUGGCAACUUUACUCCUCCACCUCCUGCUCCUCUCAUCCUCCUCCACCUCCUCCUGCUCCAUGGGGUGUGCUUCCUUCAGCAUAGGAAAGGUGCUCAUAUCUAUUUAUUUAUUCAUCCACUGAAUCCAGUUUACGGUGAAUGACACACACACACACACACACACACACACACACACACACACACAGACGUGUUUCAUACUUUGCUUAAGAUUUAAAACGUGAACCUGGAAAUGCUGAGGAUAUUUAUCCGUGAUGUGUGAUGUCAUGCUGGGUUGAACAGAAGCUUGUUUCUCCUGUUAGUGGCAUCUUCAGUCAUUUAAAACAGUUUCUGUCUCCUAGCAACAAGGUUUGUUUUUAUUAUGACCAUGAAAACAGAAGGCCGAUGGAGGAAAAUGGACAGUUGUUAAAGGGGGGGACGGGGGGCAGACGGUAAUCUUCCUGUCUUCAGUUGUCAUGGAAACAGAAUAUUUCACCCCCCAGCUGUGCGAACCCUUGCAUUGCUCCACGGACCCAGAAUCCUUCACUCUAGCCGCUGUCCUCCCACUCGCCCUCCAUCAUUAAUCUCCACCUUCACUCUGUCACCAACUGCUCCCUCAGACGUGAAGUUAACCCUGUGGUGACGCUUACAGUAGACCCAAACUGAGAUGAGUCCUCAUGUGGCGAGGAACCGAGGAGCCGAGCGAACAACCUGCUGCUCCAUGUCAGUAAGACCAUAGGAGGUGAUUGAAGAGGCUCCUCCUGCGUCUCCAUCAGUGGAGCUGAGGAGCAGCAAGUUAACAGCUUCAAGCUCCUGGGCAUCAGCAUCACAAAGAACCCUACGUGGUCCUCACACAUCUCUGACCUGGAGGAGGAACCAUCUGCUGGUAUUGGUGACAGGAAAGGAGAUUUAAAAACAACCUCCACAGCUCCUCCUCCACAUUUAUAGUUUUGUGAUGAACUCUGUAAAUAUUCUUUUAAUCAGAGCUUUAUUUUACCGCUGAUGAGUCUAAUGGUCCGAUCCAGAUGUCCGCCGGUCGAGUUGAUGCUUUGAGUCUCUAAAGGAUGCGGUGAUGUUGGAGGUCUGAUACCUGAUUGAGUGAUGAUCUCCUCUGUGUCUCCUCUCAGAGUCUGGGAACCACUGGCAGAUACGACUCCAGGAGGAAGUAAGUCAUCAUCAUCAUCAUCAUCAUCAGUCGGUUCUCUUUGAUCUUCGUGUAUUCUGAGAGCAAGAAGUCCUGAUGUGAAGAAGCAGGAGUUCUGGCCUCUGCUUUCAACAGCAACCGGAUUAAAUCGCCCUGCUUUUUGUUUUCCAUCUUCGCUCGGUGGGGUCGGGUGGAGGGGGGGUGGCUGCUGGUAGUAAAUAUUCUCUGGUACUAACAUGAAGUCACACCGAUGUCGAACUUGCUCUGACUAAAAGAAUUAAAGUGGUGGAUGAUGUUUGUUGAUUUCAGUCGUGAUGCUUCAGCCUCAUGUUUGGUCUCCUCGUCUGAGGAGACGCUGACAGCAUAUCAGACAAGAACAACAACAGCGUGAUGUUCAGAACAUUCAGCAGCAUCCGCGGCUUUAAUAACGCUCCACACACACCGAUGGGCCCAAGGCAGCCAUCAGGAAUAAUGGCCUCCGUCUACGCGUUGCCAUGGCGAUCGGGUGGAGGCGAUGAGCUCGGUGGGAGACUCUGAGGACAACUUCUGGUGUUUGUGGAUCCCAGAGCUGCUGGAGUGGAUUCUGAUAACGAGAAGCUCCAUAUAACAAUAAUCACAAAUGAGUCAACCAUUGGAAUAAAAAACUGUUUUAGUUUCAGCUUCCUCCACUCGUGCUUUUUAGAUUCCUACAGAUAUUUGUGUUAAUUUGAUUUAAUAACUUCUCUAAUGACCAGUGGAGGAUGUAUUUAAACAACUUUAACGUGUCAUCAUCACACAAAUCCGACUGAGCUGUAAACUCUGUAACUGCCUUAAUGUUGAUUUAAAACCGUCUUGUGGUUUAUUCAAUUACAAUAAUGGACUCAAACAUUUAGAUGGACAUUUGUUUAAUUAUCCAUUCAAAUCUUAAAUCAAACACCAUCUAAACAAAGUUAAUAAACUUUGGUAGUAACUGUUGUCACAUUCUACCUCCUCUCAUUCUAGUUGGCUUCCUUUCCCCACGUCCUACUUUCUCUCCCGUAUACACACGUACAGACAAGUGCAGUAAAAGACUACACAAUAGUGCAAAAGAUGACAGUUUCAUAAUUUCAGUGCUCCAACUAUUUGAUUUACAUGGAAAUAUGCAGCUAUAUAUGUUUAUAUUUGCAUAUAGAUAUAAAUCUAUUCUAUAUAACGAAUAUAUAAAUCUAUUUCUAUAUAUACAUAGUGCAUAGCUAUAUAAAUCUGUAUGUAUUCAUGUUUACAGGCGUGUUUUACUUUCGUAAAAGGUUCUCCUUCACCUGUUGCUCCUCCACGGUAACCAUGGAAACAGAGCCCAGCCAGCCAUCGCCACAAUUGUUUUAUUUCUCUCACCACACAGAGAAGCCGUAACUCCUGAUGUUCUCCGUGUGGGCGUGUGCGUGUGUGUGUGUGUAUGUGAUGUUCAUCACUGUCGUCACGAUGUACAAACAUCUGGAUUUAUGGAGCUAAUAACACUUCACUUACUUACCUUUAGGGUUACUGAUUUAAAUCGUGUGUAGACAUCGACUACUUCAUACACUAAAUGCACCCUUAUAGACGGCAAAUACUUUUAUACCAUAAAUAAACUUAAAUAUCAUGAAUAUACUUAAAUAACACAAACACACAAACUGCAAAAAAUGUCUAGAGUUAAAGUUAUUACAAUCAGCUGCUACUAUAUUUGAAUAAUUGAAUUUGGAUCUUUUCACCAUCUGAUGGUGAUCAAGAUGAUCAGAAGAAACACGUUGCAGCAGAGAAAAUAAAAUGAAUAUAUGAUAUACAGUAAUAAUAUAUGAUAUACAGUAAUAAUAUAUGAUAUACAGUAAUGAAUAUAUGAUAUACAGUAAUGAAUAUA